This 292-nucleotide ribosomal RNA is filed under the name uncultured bacterium. RNAcentral's name for it is "partial 16S ribosomal RNA". It matches the Rfam family "Bacterial small subunit ribosomal RNA", at positions 505 to 796 of the family's 1533-position model. The record is from RNAcentral.
GUGCCAGCAGCCGCGGUAAUACGUAGGGGGCAAGCGUUGUCCGGAAUCAUUGGGCGUAAAGCGCACGUAGGCGGCCCGGUAAGUCCGCUCUGAAAGUCAGAGGCUCAACCUCUGGAGGCGAGUGGAUACUGCCGGGCUAGAGUCCGGAAGAGGCGAGUGGAAUUCCUGGUGUAGCGGUGGAAUGCGCAGAUAUCAGGAGGAACACCUAUGGCGAAGGCAGCUCGCUGGGACGGUACUGACGCUGAGGUGCGAAAGCGUGGGGAGCGAACAGGAUUAGAAACCCUCGUAGUCC